This 303-nucleotide ribosomal RNA is filed under the name uncultured bacterium. RNAcentral describes it as "partial 16S ribosomal RNA". It matches the Rfam family "Bacterial small subunit ribosomal RNA", at positions 507 to 809 of the family's 1533-position model. The record is from RNAcentral.
AGCAGUAGCCACGGUAACACGUAGGGGGCAAGCGUUAUCCGGAAUUACUGGAUGUAAAGGGAGCGUAGACGGUUAAACAAGUCUGAAGUGAAAUGCCGGGGCUCAACCCCGGAGCUGCUUUGGGAACUGUAGAACUGGAGUGUCGGAGGGGUAAGCGGAAUUCCCAGUGUAGCGGUGAAAUGCGUAGAUAUUGGGAGGAACACCGGCGGCGAAGGCGGCUUUUUGGCCUGUAACUGACACUGAGGCGCGAAAGCGUGGGGAGCAAACAGGAUUAGAUACCCCUGUAGUCCCUGUCUCUUAUAA